RNAcentral lists this ribosomal RNA (331 nucleotides) under uncultured eukaryote. Its description in RNAcentral is "partial 18S ribosomal RNA". It matches the Rfam family "Eukaryotic small subunit ribosomal RNA", at positions 1470 to 1796 of the family's 1831-position model. The record is from RNAcentral.
CCCUUAGAUGUUCUGGGCCGCACGCGCGCUACACUGUUCGACGCAGCGAGUCUUAACCUUGACCGAAAGGUUUGGGUAAUCUUCAGCAAAGUCGAACGUGAUGGGGAUCGAUCAUUGCAAUUAUUGAUCGUGAACGAGGAAUUCCUAGUAAGUGCAAGUCAUCAGCUUGCGCUGAUUACGUCCCUGCCCUUUGUACACACCGCCCGUCGCUACUACCGAUUGAAUGGUUUAGUGAGAUCUCUGGAUUGACGCUGGCUAGGGGGCGACCCUUGGCCGGACUGUUGAGAAACUGCUCAAACUUGAUCAUUUAGAGGAAGUAAAAGUCGUAACA